This 292-nucleotide long non-coding RNA is filed under the name Setaria viridis. RNAcentral's name for it is "long non-coding RNA (SVIR_LNC000373)". The record is from RNAcentral. Lineage: Eukaryota; Viridiplantae; Streptophyta; Magnoliopsida; Poales; Poaceae.
UUUCGCUAGCUGAUGGAACAGGAACCCGCAAUCAAUACCAACAUCAGAGAACUCCUCGUCAGGAACACCAAGUCGAUGAAGUCUCCCAAGAUGAAUUAUUAGCUGACACUUUGGAGGGCGAAACUAGCAGCUAGAGAACUCAAAGAAGAGCAAGAAACGCUUAGAGAGCAGAUCGUCAUCAACAACUUGCUGCAAGACUCCCCAUAAGGAACCUUGACAGAGCAUUUCAAGCAGUUCAAUCAUGGGAACAUAACACCACACUUGCAGCUAUCGCUUCAAUCGAUCUUCUAAC